RNAcentral lists this long non-coding RNA (13637 nucleotides) under Musa acuminata (dwarf banana). RNAcentral's name for it is "long non-coding RNA (MACU_LNC005013)". The record is from RNAcentral. Lineage: Eukaryota; Viridiplantae; Streptophyta; Magnoliopsida; Zingiberales; Musaceae.
CAAAAAAGGUGGUGGUUUGAUAGGCGUUAACCCUGUGGGUACGGUGAGUGCGGCGUACACCGGCCUGUUAUCCCUCCACCGUCAAGAGCGGGAGGUGGUCGCUGCUCUGUGAAGCCAGCCUGACGCGGUGUCCUCCGCUUUAGGAUCCUAAGAAGCUCGAGCCUUCGCCCGGGCCGCACGGCUCAGCUGCCUGACUUGGAACGGACAAGCCGAGUAUAGUACGGUCGCACCCAACCCAGUCGAGUUAAACACACCAUCCCACCGCCUCAAGGCUCCCGCUCGGGUUACAAGCCCACGCUACCGGGCUCGGCGAUCGAGGCGCUUUCGCAGCAGAAUAUAACGUCUUUGAUUCUUUUAGAAUUGGCGAUGUGGGACUAAGAAUUGUGCCAACCCGCCACCGAUUCAUCCACCAGCAAAAUGCUUUGGAGGAUAACACAAACUGCAAGUGCCCCAAGAGAAUUGGAUUGCGCACGAACAGCUUCUUUCUACUCCAACGCCCCGAAUGAUGCAUUCAUGGCCAAACUGUGUUGUUCAUGGAUGCAGAUCGAAAAGCGCUAAGUAAUCCCCAAAGGUAAGAAUACGUUUGAUUGUCUUACGAUACAACCUUACCCUAUUAGAAAUUUAAUCUCAUAAUCUAAUAAUACUAAAAGAACAAAAAAGAGAAUCCAAUUACAGAGAAAAGGAAUGAUAAAAAAGUGGGGUCUGAUCGAUGUUAGCUUGCCGAGCAUGGUAAGGUGUGGCUUCGACCAGUCUGCCAUCCCUUCCACUGUCGAGAGCGGGAGGUACUCGUUUCUUUGUUAGGAUGCGUAUGACUCGAGUCUUCGCCUGGAGUCACAUUGCUCAAUUUCUUGACUCAAAAUGGGCAAGUCGGGGUUGGGUGGGUCAAACCUAACCCAAUCAAGCACAACACAUCAUUCCACCUCCUUCAUGCCCUCACUCAUGUGACAAGCCUGUGCUACGAGGCUCGACAAUUACAAGUAUUUCACAGAGUAAUAUAAAGGCAUAAAAAUAGGUAAAAACUAGCAAUGUGGGACGAAGAAUAGUGCGACCACUUUCCCCUCCUCCCUUUGCAGAGAGAUUCACGAACCAAAUGCUUUCGAGAGGGAACAUAGGCUUGGAUGGUGUAUUUGUCCACCUGUUUUUAUUUUGGAGAAAGAAUUCAACUGCAUUGUAAACGUAAAACUCCUUCCUACUCCCCUCCUCAAUGAUAUAUAAAUAUUUAGAAAAAAACUUUAGUUUUCAAAAAUUCUCCAUCUCAACUUUUAAAAAUAUAAACAAAGUACCUAUUUCGUGCAUUAAAACAUCGUUUUAUCUCUACUUUUGUCGGAUCCAUUAUUACCUCAACCCUAUAUCAAUGCUCUAACUCUUUUCCCCUUUGCUAAGAACAACAAUAGAGUAGGGGGUCACGAAUCCUUGGUACUUUGUGUCUUCACACACGAGUUGACUUACGCACUUAGCCAUGCUUUUAUCUUGAACAGUCAUCCAUUACCCACAGCAUUGUUGAUCGCCUUCAUGAGUGGGCCCAGCCAAACUCUUUCCCCGCCUAUGAUCGAUGACGAGGGGUGCUUAUGGGCGAUUGCGAGGGUACACAGUAUGCCUCCCCUCCUUCCUCACCCACGAACAAUGAUGAGUGAAGGCAUAGGGGUCGUGGCCCUUGGUUCUUCAUUUGCAAUCGAUAACGAUAGAGUUCAAAUAUAUAUUGUAUAGCUUAAUAUUUUCAAAGUUACGAUCGCCUAAUAUUUUUUAAGAAUAUACAUAUUUAGAAUUUUUUUAAAUCUAAGAUCUAUAUAAUAUUUAUUUAUUUUUAAUUAGUUUAGUCCUUCUAUUCAAAGAUACGAACUUGAAUAAUCGAUGAUAAAAUAAGACAUAAUAUCAUGAAAAAUAAAAAAAUAUUUUUUUAGAAAAAUUAGAAAACCAUAUUAAUUAGUAAAAGCUGAAAAAAAAUAUUAGCAUCACCAUGGGCUAAGGAGUUACAAAUCCUAUGAAAAAUCAAUUUAAACUAAGCUAUGUUGAAAUUGCAUAGUUGAUCCUUUCUAAUCCCACGUCAUUGGGUUUUAGAGGAUAAUGUGAUGGGACAUACCAUGGUACUUCAGCAAAGCGGAGCUUUCUUUCUAUCAUUUAAUAGUCCUAUGCGUUGUAUCUUACUAUUAUUUUUAAUGCGAAAAAGUGGUGGUUUGGUCAGUGUAAGCCCGAUGGGUAUGGUGGGGGCGGCGUGCAUCGGCCUGUUAUGCUUCCACCGUCAAGAGAGGGAGGUUAUCGCUGCUCUGUGAAGCCAGCCUGACGCGGUGUCCUCCGCUUUAGAAUCGCAUGUGACUCAGGCCUACGCCAGGACCGCACUGCGAAGCUGCCUGACUUGGAACGGGCAAGCCAAGUCUGGAAAUCACCGGACCCAACCCAAUAGAGCUGAACACAACAUCCCACCACAUCCUUGCCCCCACUCGGGUUACAAGCCUGCGUUACUGGGCUCGGCGAUCGAGGGCCUUCCGCAGCCUCAUAUAACUUUUUGCGAGACUCUAAAUAUUGGCGAUGUGGGACUAAGAGCACUUCCUCCGCUCCCUCCUUUCCCUUUCCGAAAAUUCAUGCACCGCGUGCUUUCUGAGAGAACCCGAAUUGCACCCAAACUUUCGAUCAUGGUUCUUACCACCUUUUCAUCACCUAAAACUAUUUCAUCGGCAAAGAGGCCAUUUGAAUAAGGUCACUAUUCAAAAGCUUAAGAAUAAGGUUACUAUUUAAAUGCUCGAGUUUUUAGAAAAUAAUAAAGUAGAAGAUAUCAAUAGAAUUGUGUUAAUCAUCACCUCUUUACUCUAACGUUUAUCAUCUUUAUAAAAAUUAUCAAAAGAUAAAAGGUGCUUCAUCUCCUUCUCUUUGAAGUUUAUUUUUAGGUUGCCCUUCGUCCUUGUACAUUUUUCAAUGAUAAAUCAUAUAUAAGAUUUAUGACCCAAUGAGCUAUCUCCUUUCAAGAUGAGUCUAUCAAUAUUAAUAUCAAUUUGUCUCUCUGUGACUCCUGAGGUCGAGGUAAGUGUUCUUGGUGCUUAAGGAUGAAUCGCGCAAGAUAAAUCUGAUGUAUGAAUUCUUCAAUAUCCUUUUUCAAGUCUCGAUAUUCAUUUGUGUCAUGGACGUAAUUCAGAUAGAACCGAUAAUAUUUAGAUCCGUCUUUUUUUGCCAAUGAAGUAUUCAUCGAGUGAGAGUCUUUUAAGAGUCUCUUUCCUUUUAUCGGUAGAAAAAAACUUUAAUUCUAAGCAUAUUCAAGGGGGUUAGCUCAGACCUUGGGCGAGGUAACUCAAGUCGUUCGUUCUUCCUCUAUUGUGAUGACCUCGGGGUCGGGGUGGACUAUAGUUGCUCUUACUUCGACCUCUUGUGCGGCUGACUCUUUACGCUUACCAGAUAUUAUUAUCCUGAUGGUAAUAUAUUGAUUGACUCUUUGAAGUGCCUGUAGUAUUGUCGCCGAUGACCUCUCCACUAACGACGAGAAGAGAUGAGAGGACUUGAGACUCAUCAUGAAGGUUUGUAUCAAGAGUGACGAACGGAUAUACCACGCUUUGGAUUUUAUUAAUGAAACUAAGUGAUGAAGUUUGUAAGAAUUUCCUUCAAUUGCAUGAAUACGAGAAGCAUUGACAUUGCUAGCCUCGGGUGCACAUUCCCGAUGAAGUGAAAUUCAAACUUCCUCGUGAACUAGGUAAUGAAACUGAUGGAGAGUGGCUUCAGAUAUAAGUAUCAUUCUCGUGUUAGGUCUCUUAAUAUAGUCGAGAAUGUGUGACACAUCAAGGCAUCCGAAGUGUCAUACAAUAAUAUUUAGGCAUGGAAAGUUAUAAUGUGCUCCAUUGGGUUAGCAUUGCCAUCGAAUGCCUCCAACGACGGUGGUGGAAGAUUGUUAGAAUCGAUUCUUCCUAAAUUUUCUAGAUAAAUGAUGACCGACUCGAGGUGGAGUUAACCAAUGCUUCCCUUUUGGAUUAUUAAAAUUUUUAUCAUAUCUCCUUCAAACGAUGAUCCAUCUAUCAUAGUUGGAUUUGCAAGGAAUCCUUCAUCAAAUUCGUCGAUCUAGUCUCUGAUUUAAGCAUGAUAGAAUCGUGAUAUGGAAUGCUAAAUUUCAUGAUUAUGGAGCGAAGUGCUCUCUCGGCCAUGAUUCGAUAGGUUUUGGGUACUUUUAGGAUGUAACACUAUGUUGGAUGGGGGAAAGUUGAUGGGUGCUAGUGGUGGGUGAGCCAGUGACAACAACUGAGUUAGUGGCGUUGUCUAUUAAGCUAACUAGGGUAAAUGUUAGAGAUUUUAAUAUAUAAAAGAAGUUUUAUAUUUUAAUAUAUAGAAUAUGCAUACUUGCAAGGCAUCUUAUGUUUGUCAAUUGUUGUCACCCCUUUUUUCUUAUUUAAGAUCCCUUCUGAUUUUUUUAAUCAUAAUUAUAUUUUUACUGUUUUUUAAUAUUUAAUUCCUUCCAUCGAAAGAAAUGAACUUGAAUAACGAGAUGAUAUAAUAAAAGACACAAUAUCAACAAAAAUUUCUCAAGACCUACAUAAAGAAAAAACAAUUCUUUGUAAAAAGAGAAAAAGCUAUAUUAAUUAGCAAAAACUAAAAAAAAACGAAGAGCCGUUAGUAGCCUCCGAGGAAGAACAAAAAGUGGGUCAGCCUAUAAAAGUUGGCGUUGCCAUGGGGCUAAGGAGUUACAAAACCUAUCAACAACCAAUCCAAACAAACCAUGCAAAUCAACAACUAUACAAAGAUGAAUGAUGAUCUUAUUAAAUAUUAAACUUAAUAUUUAUGAAGCAAAAUGAAUGUGCUUGUCACAAUAAAAUCAUAAGAGUUCACGAGUGCUUAAGUUUUUUUUACGGCUAGAAUAAUGGAAUAGAUAAAACUUUGGUCGAGCUUACGAACAUAAAAAACGAAAAAAAAAUUAAAAUUUUGGUUAUGUAAAAGCUCAAUAAGAGUUCAAAAUUGGUUAAACUAAUCAGUGUUGCCCAUUUGUGACUGACAUCCACACGAGAUAGCCGAUUAGUUAUUUUUUAUUACUGGAAUAACGUGCAUCUCGACACUGCACAUUGACAAAGCCGAGCGCAUACCUUCCAUUGUCAAAAUCAACUAUGCUAAUGAUCAUGUUAGUGCGAUGGGUUCACUCUGUCAUUUGCCUACGCAUACAAUAUAUACUUUAGAAAACACAGAUAUAUUGAAAUUGCAUAGUUCGUCGUGAUCCUUUCUAAUCCCACACCAUGGGCCUUUAGCGGAUGAUGAGAUGGGACAUACUUCGGUAUCUCAGUAAAGUCAGAGCUCAUUCCUUAAAGGUUUUAUUAUAUUAAUUAUUGAGAGAUUAUAGAUUUUCUUUUAUUUUUUUUUGUUUUUAAUACAUCGCUCGUAGUAGUCUUAUGAAAGAUAAAAAGAGAAGAGAAUACGACUACAGUAGUAGCGACAACUAUAGCUUCAUCGCUACCACUAUGGUGAUUGUUGUAGCUUGUUGUGAUUGUAGCAUUAUCGUUGCUUAGGGCAACUACAACAAUGUCGUUGCGGCAUUUGUUGGCCAUGGCUGUUGAUAAGUCGCAUGCGAAGAGCUAUGCAACCACGAGCGAUGCAGGCGACGAAUGACCAGUGCACCAUCAACAAGACCUGCAAGUGUGGGCGUAGUGGGAUGCGACGACGACAACAACAUGAGAAUUUGAUUUUUUUUAAAGCACAUUUUUGUACCUCGAAUGCAUCUUGAUAUAAGAAAAUCAUAUCUCCUAAGGGCUCUUCACUGAUUUAAUCACCCGAGGAGAAGCACAAGUAAAAUUCUCCUACAUCAUUAGAAUCCAUGAAGUGAUAUAUAACACGAAUUACGAUCAGACCUAAACAAAAGAGGAAUCUCUCGAGCGACAUAACAAAAAUGAAUCCCAUAUUUGCUCUUUACAAUCAAUCUUUUGGCAUUCACUAAAAGUUAGACUAAUUUAGUUGAUAAAAAUCUUCGUUGUAUUUUUUAAAUAUUAUUAUAAAAAUGAAUCCCAUAUUUGCUCUUUACAAUCAAUCUUUUGGCAUUCACUAAAAGUUAGACUAAUUUAGUUGAUAAAAAUUUUCGUUGUAUUUUCUAAAUAUUAUUAUCAGUGUUGUCCCUCUUGAGAUAAAAAAAAGAAAUCGGUGUGCAAAAAGUGGUGGUCUGGUCAGUGUUAGCCCGAUAGGUACGGCGGGUGUGGCGUGCACCGGCCUGUUAUCCUUCCACCGUCAAGAGCGGGAGGUUAUCGCUGCUCUGUGAAACCAGCCUGACGCGGUGUCCUCCGCUUUAGGAUCCCAGAUAGCUCGGGCCUUCGUUCGAGCCACAUAGCUCAGCUGCCUGACUUGGAACGGGCAAGCCAAGUCUAGCACGACCGCACCCAACCUAUUCGGGCUGAACACAACAUUCCACCACCUUAUUGCCCCCACUAGGGUUACAAGCCGGCGUUACCGGGCUCGGCGAUCGAGGCGCUUCCACAACUUCAUAUAGCCUGUCAGUGAAUCCUAAAAAUUGGCGAUGUGGGACUAAAAACGCUCCCUCCUUUUUCCUUUCCGAACAUUCGUGCACCGCAUGCUUUCCAGGAGAAACCCGAAUUGCAUCUAAAGUUUCGAUCAUGGUUCCCCACCACCUAAAACCAUUCCAUCCCCUUCGAACAGACCAACAGAAGAUGCCCUGCAGACCCCUCCAGAUUACCCGACUCCUAAUCUUGAAACCUCGAAACCCAAUGCUCUCCUGCAUCGGGGAUUCAACAUGUUUCGAGCUAAAUUUCUCCUACAUCAGCUGACCGCAAUGCUGUAACUUUGGUGAUGAUGAAGAGGUGUAAGCUGAUAAAUGCUAUAACAAUGCCCGAAUACGUUGUCGGCCUCGUUGCAGAAGAGGAUCGACUUUUAGAUUGUGAAUCUGUGUCUUUGAACAUAGAUGCGCUAGCAUGUAUAUAAACCAUUACUUCUUAAUUCGAUGACAUUAAUAAAUAUAAUUGAUACGUCAUAUUUUGGCCUCGAAGACAUAUCAGGUCAGAAUCCAUACUAAGGCACUGCUUGACACGUCACAUCUUGGGAACCACAAGACACGCCAAGUCAGAAUCCAUACUAAGGCACUGCUCGGCAUGUCACGCCUCAGGAACCCCGAGACGGCGCCGCCCCCAAGACACGCCAAGUCAGAAUCUGUACUAAGGCACUGCUCGGCACGUCUACCAUGCCAAACCUCGUACGACUGACCCACGUACAAUAAUAUAAAGACCUCUGGCCGGCAUCUGGCUAGGAGGGGAAAAAAGGUGGUAAAAUCAAUUGAUCACUCUACUGACUUGUUCGUCAGAGGGUUCUCGUCGGGAAUCACCCAACGAGGGCCAUUUUUGAAGGAAAAUGCAGCCACCUCACGAAGACGAGCUACCAACCACCCGAGAAUCCCCAUCCAGUGCACGAAGGAGAGCAGCCAAUCGGUCCAUAUCCUAAACAAUGCCAACCAGUACUCCUUCUCGAGGGCUUGACCACCUCACGAAGAUGAGCUGCCAACCACCUCAGAAAAAGAGAGACGUAGCUCGACAUACACGACGCUCGGAUCGGCACACCAAGGAACACUGAUCAACACCCCAUUGCAAGGGCCCGAUAGACCUCGAUAUCCAACUCAACCGAUAGAAGACUCCCGACAUCGACCCGUAGACCAGGCUGUGCUAACUCACAAGCCACAGCACAUUUGUUUACUAACAUUUUGACGCUAGAAGGAGGGCAUGUCGCAAGAGCAACAGAUAGGGGUCCUCCCCGAGGGAGAACCACCGACCGACCUCCCUUUUGUUAAACCAAAAAGUCAGGCCUUCCCCACCCCCGGAGACAGGAGGAUCCCGGCUUCGAUGCUAGAUCGCUACUGUCGUCUGUUCAACGACCCGGGAUUGUCACCCCCGAGGCUCACCAUAGGGCCCUCGGUCGUGACACCCGAGGCAUUCCUUAGCCUAACCAAGCAAGUACAGGCCAUGGCGGGCAUGAUGUAGACGCUCGCUCCAAUCAUUCCUCAGAUCGUGCGGCUAGCGACGCCCCCGACCGACCCGUCCCAACAGCGACCGAACAGGGAGCAGGUCGGGACUGGAGAAGCCCAAGAGCAAGCAACGGACUCGAGAGGUCCGCCCGAGUAGAGCAUACUCGCACCCUGCCGAAUCACACCGCUCCACUCCGAGCCCGACACCAUAUCGUCCGACUCGGUGGAUGACUCGUUCAGGAUCCAGUUGUCUCGGAUCAACCAACGCUUGGAUGAGUUCCAGCGCGAGUUCCAGAAAUCGCGAUGCAAGUCGAAUGAAGGCGGCUCGGGCGAAUCGCCUUUCACUCAGGAAAUACAUGACAAGCCUGUACCACUCGACUUUAGGUUGCCCACAUUAGAGAUGUACGACGGCGGCUCUGACCCCGCAGAGCAUGUCGUCAUGUUUCGGGCUCAGCUAUGGCACCUCCAAUGCAUUGAUGUGUCGGGAAUUCCCGACCACCUUCAGGGGCCAGCACGAGCGUGAUUCAACCGGCUGCGCCAGUCCUCAGUCUCAUCCUUCGACCAGCUCACAAGGGAGUUCGAGCAAAACUUCCUCACCAACGUGCAACCCAAGCCUUCUAUCGCUACACUGCUGGCGUUAUCUCAACACGAGGAUGAGUCGCUCUCUCAGUUCGUGGCACAUUUAGCCACCGAGAUCUAUGAAUUUUCGGACGCUCAUCUCUCUCUAAUAAUGCAGGUGUUUCUGAUGGGCUUGAAACCUUCAAGGUUCUUUUGGUCACUAAUCGAGAAGCCUCCAGUAACCAUCCCCGAGAUGCUCCAAUGCGUCAACCAGUACAUCGCCGCCAAAGCUCUGGUGGUGGGAAAGUGCAUGGACAGCAAGAGGCCAAGGGCGAAACAAUCCCGGGGAACGACUUCCGUAGCCCCAGUGCAACCCCGCUAGAGGCUUGACUGACAAGAGCUACUGCUCCUGAGGCCCCCGCCUCUCCCUCUGAGCAUGUUCCACCAGGACUAUGACCACGGCACGGAAGAUUGCUGUGACCUCCAGAAUCAAAUCGAGGACUUGAUCCGAAAAGGUUAUCUCAAGUGCUAUGUCAAGGAAACCCGAGAAGCAACUCCAUGUCCUAGGGGACCCUUCGAAAGACGCCUCAUCAUCCAAAAUAUCAUGUCGAAAAGCCACUCGCGACAAGAGGUCCACAAGCUCGCCAGAUCGGUUCCCGACCUGCGACUCGCCGACCCAUCUCUUGCCUGAGCCGCUCUAGAUCGGUUCCCGACCUGUGCCUUGCCGGCCCAGCUUUUGCCCAAGUUGCUCCAGAUCAGUUCUCGACCUGCAGCUCGCCAGCCCAGCUCUUGCCCGAGUUGCUCUAUAUCGAUUCCCGACCCGCGGCUCGCCGGCCGAGCAUUUGUCCGAGCCGCUCCAGAUUGGUUCCCGACCUAUGGCUCACCGGCCCAGCUCUCAUUCGAGUCGCCCCAAAUCGGUUCCCGACCUGCAGCUCGCCGGCCCAGCUCUUGCCCGAGCCGCUCCAGAUCGGUUCCCGUCCUGCGGCCCGUUGGCCCAGCUCUUACCCAAGUCGCUCAAGAUUAGUUCUCGACCUCAGGCUCGCCGGCCUAGCUCUUGCCUGAGCCGCUCUAGAUCGAUUCUCGACCUGCGGCUCGCCGGCCUAGCUCUUGCCCAAGCGGCUCCAGAUCGGUUCUCGACCUGUGCCUCGCGGGCUCAGCUUUUGCCCGAGUCACUCCAGAUCGGUUCCCGACCUACGGCUCGUCGGCCCAACUCUCACCCGAGUAGCUCCAGAUCGGUUCUCGACUUGUGGCUCGCCAGCCCAACUCUUGCCCGAGCCACUCCAGAUCGGUUUCCGACCUGCGGCUCGUCGGCCCAACUCUUGCCCGAGUUGCUCUAGAUCGAUUCCCGACUUGCGGCUCUCUAGCCCAGCUCUUGCCCGAGCCAUCCAGAUCGAUUCCUGACCUGCGGGUAGCCAGCCCAGCUCUUGCCCAAGCGCUCUAGAUAAGUUCCUGACCUGUGCCUCGCUGGCCCAGUUCCUGCCCGGGUUGUUCCAGUUUGCUCCUGACUUUCGAUUCGGAGUCGAGCUUACUCACUUGGUCCCCAGAUUCAAUUCGGAGCCGAGCUUACUCACUCGGUCCCCAUAUCCGAUUCGGAGCCAAGCUUACUCACUCGGUCCCUAGGUUCAAUUCGGAGCCGAGUUUACUCACUCGGUCCCUAUGUUCAAUUCGGGGAGCCGAGCUUACUCACUUGGUCCCCAGAUUCAAUUCGGAGCCGAGCUUACUCACUCGGUCCCCAUAUUCGAUUCAAAUUCGAGCUUACUCACUUAGUCCCUAGGUUCAAUUUGGAGCCGAGCUUAGUCACUCGGUCCCUAGAUCCGAUUUAGAGCCGAGCUUACUCACUCGGUCUCCAGAUUCGAUUCGGAGUCGAGCUUACUCACUCGGUCCCCAGAUCCGAUUCAGAGCCGAGCUUACUCACUCAGUCCCCAGGUUCAAUUCGGAGCAGAGCUUAGUCACUCGGUCCCCAAGUUCAAUUCAGAGCUGAGCUUAUUCACUUGAUCCCCAGGUUCAAAUCGGAGAUAAGCUUAUUCACUCGGUCCCUAGGUUUGAUUCGGAGUCGAGCUUACUCACUCGGUCCCCAGGCUUAAUUCGGAGCCGGGCUUACUCACUCGGUCACCAGGUUCAGUUUGGAGCCGAGCUUAGUCACUCAAUCCCCAGGUUCAAUUCAGAGUCGAACUUAUUCACUCGAUCCCCAGGUUCAAAUCAGAGAUGAGCUUAGUCACUCAGUCCUCAGGUUCAUUUCUUGCUCGGGUCGCUCCAGAUCGCUCCCGACUUGCUACCCAUCGACACCGAAACCCGAGCCCGAGCUCGGUCACUCGACCCAUAGGCCCAAUCCAGUGUCCGAGCCACGCAUCUCAGCCAAUCCAACGCCCGAGUCGCAUCUCGGCCAAAUCCAAUGCCCGAGUCGCAUCUCGGCCAAAUCCAGCAUCCGAGCCACGCACCUCGGCCAUCCAACACCCGAGCCACGCAACUCGGCCAAUCUAACGCCCGAGUCGCAUCUUGGCCAAAUCCAAUGCCCGAGUCACAUCUCGGCCAAAUCCAACGUCCAAGCCACACACCUCGGCCAUCCAAAGCUCGAGCCACGCAUCUCGGCCAAUCCAAUGCCCAAGUCGUAUCUCGGCCAAUCCAAUACCCAAGUCGCAUCUCGACCAAAUCCAACGUCCAAGCCAUGCACAUUGCCCAUCCAAUGCCCGAGCCACGCAUCUCGACCGAUCCAACACCCGAGUAGCAUCUUGGCCGGUCCAAACGCCCGAACCACACAUCUUGGCCGAUCCAAUGCCCGAGCCAUACCUUGCGGCCAAUCUUAUGCCCGAGUCACAUCUCGAUCGAUCCAACGCCCGAAUCACCGGCCUAGUCUGUUAAUCCAAGUCGCUCCACGUCAACCCCUGACUAGCUACCCGUCAAGUCUCUAAACCGAGCCACCCCGGCUCGCUCGCCAACUUGCAAACUCGGCAGUUGUAACACCAAGUCGUGCCAAACCCGUUAUCUAACCUACGACACGUCGGUGUCGCCUCGUCGGUUUCGCCACGUCGGUUUCGACACGUUGGUUUUGCCUCGUCAGGCCCCUGCCUCCUGAUCAGUAGAGUCGAUCUUGCACGAAGCAUGGGGCGCUACCCUUCUAAAUCGCCCCAUGACGAGUUAAUCCAACUUCCCCUCAUGAACGAUCAGCCUCACUUCGAAGUAUCAUAUAAUAAUAUUUGGGCAUGGAAAGUUAUAAUGUCCUCCAUUGGGUUAGCAUUGCCAUCGAAUGCCUCCAACGACGAUGGUGGAAGAUUGUUAGAAUCGAUUCUUCCUGAAUUUUCUAGGUGAAUGAUGAUCGACUCGAGGUGGAGUCAACCAACGCUUCCUUUUUGGAUUAUUAAAUUUUUUAUCAUAUCUCCUCUAAAUGUCGGUCCAUCUAUGAUAGUUGGAUUCGCAAGGAAUCCUUCAUCAAUUUCGUCAACCUAGCCUCUGAUUUAAGCAUGAUAGAGUCAUGAUGUGGUAUGUUAAAUUUAUGGUGAUGGAGCGAAGUACUCUCUUGACCAUGAUUGGAUAGGUUUCGGGUACUCUUAGGAUGUCAACAUUAUGUUGGGUGGGGGAACAUUGAUUGGUGGGUGAGCUAUUGGGCUAACUAGCGUAAAUGUUAGAGAUUUUAAUAUAUAGAAUAUGCAUACUUGCAAGGCAUCUCAUGUAUGUCAAUUGUUGCAACCCCUUUUUUUUCUUAUUUAAGAUCCCUUCUGUUUUUUGAAUCAUAAUUAUAUUUUAACUGUUUUUUAAUAUUUAAUUCCUUCCAUCGAAAGAAAUGAACUUGAAUAACGAGAUGAUAUAAUAAAAGACACAAUAUCAACAAAAAUUUCUCAAGACCUACGUAAAGAAAAAAAAAUUCUUUGUAAAAAGAGAAAAAGCUAUAUUAAUUAGCAAAAACUAAAAAAAACGAAGAGCCGUUAGUAGCCUCCGAGGAAGAACAAAAAGUGGGUCAGCCUAUNNNNNNNNNNNNNNNNNNNNUCAACUAUGCUAAUGAUCAUGUUAGUGCGAUGGGUUCACUCUGUCAUUUGCCUACGCAUACAAUAUAUACUUUAGAAAACACAUAUAUAUUGAAAUUGUAUAGUUCGUCGUGAUUCUUUCUAAUCCCACACCAUGUGCCUUUACCGGAUGAUGAGAUGGGACAUUCCUUGGUAUCGCAGUAAAGUCAGAGGUCAUUCGUUAGAGGAUUUAUUAUAUUAAUUAUUGAGAGAUUAUAGAUUUUUUUUUAUCUUUAUUUUUUAUUUUUAAUUCAUUACUCAUAAUAAUCUUAUUAAAGAUAAAAAGAGAAGAGAAUGGGACUACAGUAGUGUUGUUGUGGGCGACAACUAUAGCAACAUCGAUACCACUAGGGUGAUUGUUGUAGCUUGUUGCGAUCGUAGCAUUACCGUUGCUUAGGGCAACUACAGCAAUGUCAUUGCGGUAUUUGUUGGCCACGGUCGAUGUCAACUAGACGUAAAAGACCAUGAUACUCAGCGGUUGCAUGACAAACUCGUAAGUAUUAGUGGGUGCCACAAUGACUAUGUGGUUGCUAGUUGAUACAAAAUCACGUAUGGCUGCGAUGACGAUGAGGUCGUUGAUUAGUCACAUGCGAAGAGCUAUGCACCGGUAACGAAUGACUAGUGCUCCAAGUGUGGGCAUAGUGGGAUGCGAUGACAACAUGAGAAUUUUUUUUUUUUUUAAGUAUAUUUUUAUCUUGAUAUAAGAAAAUUAUAUCUCCUAAGGGCUCUUCACUGAUUUAAUCACCUGAGGAGAAGCGCAAGUAAAAUUCUCCAGCAUCAUUAGAAUCCAUGAAGUAAUAACGAAUUACGGUCAGACCUAAACAAAAGAGGAAUCUCUGUGGCGUGCACCGGUGUGCAAAAAGUGGUGGUCUGGUCAGUGUUAGCCCGAUAGGUACGGCGGGUGUGGCGUGCACCGGCCUGUUAUCCUUCCACCGUCAAGAGCGGGAGGUUAUCGCUGCUCUGUGAAACCAGCCUGACGCGGUGUCCUCCGCUUUAGGAUCCCAGAUGGCUCGGGCCUUCGUUCGGGCCACAUAGCUCAGCUGCCUGACUUGGAACGGGCAAGCCAAGUCUAGCACGACCGCACCCAACCUAUUCGGGCUGAACACAACAUCCCACCACCUUAUUGCCCCCACUCGGGUUACAAGCCGGCGUUACCGGGCUCGGCG